RNAcentral lists this small RNA (577 nucleotides) under Arabidopsis thaliana (thale cress). RNAcentral describes it as "ATSL025720". Lineage: Eukaryota; Viridiplantae; Streptophyta; Magnoliopsida; Brassicales; Brassicaceae. The record is from RNAcentral.
AUAGCUAUUUUGCUUGUGACUGUACAGAAUGUUAGAAAUCCAGCUGCUAUGACCCAACGUGUGUGUUUCUCUUAGACCAAAAAACCUCGCACAUUCCGGUGUGUCAAAAUUUGAACCGUACCCGUUUUUUUUUCUUUUUUCUUUUUGUAAUAUCUUGAAGUUCAGAUCCAAAGGUCCUACAUCUUCCAGAGGCGGGACCCACAUCAGGUUAAAUUCAUCUAUUUUAGAAAAGUGGUCCCUCCCAACGUGCCUCGAACCCAACACCUCCACCUGGGAGAUUUACCACUAGGUCAACAGUACGUUGGUCAACCGUACCCGUUCUUCACUUCACUGGUGCAAACUCUUCUUCCCUUAAUACCUGCAUCAUUUCUCAAUCCAGUUUCCAGUUCAUGGAUGGUAUAUUGGUAUAUAUCUUCUUCUCCGCCAAAUGAGGCUGCCAAAAACAAAGACAUCAACUCGUCUUUGUUUUUAGGUCGGUGGCCACUUAUCUAAAGUGAGCAUGUGUAAGCACACCUGAGUAAAGUAAAUAAAUUUAAUGAUUUCAGCUGAUGCUUGGUACAUAGACCACUAUCUUCUA